This is a long non-coding RNA of Zea mays, 579 nucleotides long. RefSeq lists it as uncharacterized. The transcript is spliced from 2 exons. The record is from RefSeq and is a predicted model, not a curated record. NCBI's taxonomy places the organism in Eukaryota, Viridiplantae, Streptophyta, Magnoliopsida, Poales, Poaceae.
CAGCCGUCACACCACGUUGCGGGACCCGCUUGUCAUCCCUCUCGUGUUAACCUCCCAUACCCGCUUGAGCCGGCCACGACGCUGCAACCACCACUGCGGCCCUGCCUAACUGCACGAAUAAAAAAAACUCCGGCAUCUCUCAAUCCUCCGCCACCUCAGCCGAUCUCGAUGCCCACCACUGCGCAGCCCACACGCUCACCAUCGCCGUCGCGUCGUGCCUCGCCUCACCUCACAGCCGUGCGGCCUGGUCGUCGUUGAGCAGGGAGCCAGCGCUAAGCUCGUUGUGCCCGGACUCGACCUCGCCACCAUCACCGCCUCGCCCGGAGCAGCCUUGGCCCACCGCGUCGCGCCAUUGCCUCGUCCGUCGUUGCCAUGACUGCGAUCCAUUUUCGAGCUUCGAGGAAUCGACAGUCAAGCUUCGGCGACCAAGAGAUUGAACUCUUCGAGUUCUACGAGAAUGAAGACCCUGAGCAGCAGCAGCUUGGUGAAGGCAAGUGUCCUCUGACCCAUUAUGUCCUAUUCACUUAUAAUUGACUUUCCCGCAGUAUUUAAUUGAAAUCUAAGGAUUGACUAGCUUUA